UCAAGGAAAUGGAAAAUUACCCAGCGCCUGCGUAAUAAUUUACAUUUAGUGCCUUCAGGCGCCAUCAUUGUAAUGGAGAAUGCAGGGACGGCUCCCUACAAUUGCAAAAGUUAUUGAAAGAUGUUCAAUAAGAUGAUUCAUUAAGACUUUAUAAUGAGACAUAUAUAUGUGAGCUUGGCACAGGGAGUGUUUUUUUAUGAGGUUUCGAUCUUUUGUCUGAUUGGCUCUAGCUCCUGUUAUCUGUAAAAAGGGAAUAGUAGUUGAUUCAUGGUGCUAUUGUUGGAAUUCAUUAGAUAAAACUAGCAAUGCCUGAGAAAUAGAAUUAUUAAAACUUUUCUCUUGAUUAUUGGGGAUUAUAAUGUUAAAGAAUCACAUCACUUACAAAAUGCUCAGUCCUGAGACUAUCUAAACAAGGUAACAGUUAACUUCCAUGUCUUUGCUAGAAUAUUAAUCAUGGUAUGGUACUAUAACUAAUUAGCUAUUUAUAUGAGAACAAGAUUUUCAUUCCAAAACUAUUCUGACUAAAAAUGUGGCAUGAUUGAAAUACAGAAAAAUAUCAAAUUUAAUUUUAGCCUAUAUAAAUAUAAAUGUAACAUGCGGAACCAUUUGUGGGGAGUGCCCACCACCAGAUAUAUUAGUCAGUCCAUAGCUUCUGUAUUAUGCUUACAAUGGGGGCCAGAGGAAAUCAUGUCACUGGGAGCCAUUUGAAAGCACAGCUUUAAUCAGAGUCAAAGGCAGGCUUUAGGAAACCCAUGUUUUCUGUCUUGCCAUUUAGAGCUUUUUAUAUCAUAUAUUUAAGGCAAAGAAGUUCUGCUCAAAAAUGUUCCUGAGUGGUGAGGGACAUGGCUCGGUGGGUUAGAAUACUUGUACAAGCAUGAAAACCCAGUGUGAAUCUUCUGCACCUAUGUUGAAAGCUAGACAUGGACACACAGGUGCUCAUAAUCCCAGGACCACGGAACAUAGGCAGGAGGAUGGCUGGGCUUUCUGACUGCCAGUCUACUUAUAGGUUCAUUGAGAGAUGCUGCUACAUGGGAAUAAGGUAGAGAAUGAUAGACUAGGUCACCUGACAUCCUCCUCUGACAUAUACAAAUACACCUACCUUUACACACAGGUGUUUAUCCCACACACACACACACACACACACACACACACACACACGCAUGCACGCAUGCACGCACGCACUCAUACACACACAAACAAACAAACAUAUAUACACAAAGGAUAAAUAGAGCAUACUUACAUUUAAGGAUUUUCAAAUGCUGAAUAGUCUAUUUUGUACCACAGGGAUCUUCAUGACACUGAGACUAACUGAAUCCUGAGGCUGGCAAUCAUUAAUAAUGCCACUAUGGAAGAGUUGAUCCCACUGAUUGGAAGGUUAGUAGAAAACACUGUCCAGCGUGUGGAAGAUUCUUAUUGGAUGAAUAACUCUGUUCACUGCUAGGCUGACCUCGGUUAACAUGUUGGCCUCUCUGAAUCUGGUUUCUCCUCCAUUUGAAAAGAUUCAAUACAAUUUGUUAAUGUAUGUUUCUGGAACAUAUUGCCUCUUGAUGCAGGUCUGUGUUUUCUCUUACCCUAUGUGUUGUGGGCUGUUAUGACAAUUAAAUUAUGACACUGGA
Non-coding RNA from Cricetulus griseus (Chinese hamster), 1616 nucleotides. The record is from RefSeq and is a predicted model, not a curated record. NCBI's taxonomy places the organism in Eukaryota, Metazoa, Chordata, Mammalia, Rodentia, Cricetidae.